GGGGUGUGAGAGCACGGCCCCCCACAAUGGGACUGAGACACGGCCCAUACUCCUACGGGAGGCAGCAGCAGGGAAUAUUGCACAAUGGACGGAAGUCUGAUGCAGCGACGCCGCGUGAAUGAGGAAGGCCUUCGGGUUGUAAAAUUCUUUUAGCGGGGAAGAGCGAGGACGGUACCCGCUGAAUAAGCGUCGGCUAACUACGUGCCAGCAGCCGCGGUAAGACGUAGGACGCAAGCGUUAUCCGGAUUUACUGGGCGUAAAGCGUCUGUAGGCGGAGGAGUAAGUUGGGCGUGAAAGCUCCGGGCUUAACCCGGAGAGGCCGUUCAAUACUGCUUGUCUAGAGGGGGUCAGAGGGAAGCGGAAUUCCUGGUGUAGCGGUAAAAUGCGCAGAUAUCAGGAGGAACACCGGUGGCGAAGGCGGCUUCCUAGGGCCAACCUGACGCUGAGAGACGAAAGCUAGGGGAGCAAACAGGAUUAGAGACCCUGGUAGUCCUAGCCCUAAACGAUGAAUGCUAGGUGUGGGGCCGAACGGCUCUGUGCCGCAGCUAACGCGCUAAGCAUUCCGCCUGGGGAGUACGACCGCAAGGUUAAAACUCAAACGAAUUGACGGGGCCCCGCACAAGCAGCGGAGCGUGUGGUUUAAUUCGAUAUUACACGAAGAACCUUACCUGGGUUUGACAUGCACGUGGUAAGAAUCCGAAAGGAGACUGACCCUUCGGGGAGCGAGCACAGGUGCUGCAUGGCUGUCGUCAGCUCGUGCCGUGAGGUGUCGGGUUAAGUCCCGUAACGAGCGCAACCCUUGCCCUUAGUUACAAGUGUCUAGGGGGACUGCCGGCGGAAAGCCGGAGGAAGGUGGGGAUGACGUCAAGUCAGCAUGGCCUUUAUGUCCAGGGCUACACACACGCUACAAUGGUCGGUACAAAGGGCAGCCAAACCGCGAGGUGGAGCGAAUCCCAAGAAAGCCGGUCGUAGUUCGAAUUGCAGGCUGCAACUCGCCUGCAUGAAGCUGGAGUUGCUAGUAACCGCGCGUCAGCUAUAGUGCGGUGAAUACGUUCCCGGGGCUUGUACACGCCGCCCGUCACGUCAUGGGAGUCGGUAACGCCUGAAGCCGGUGGUCUAACCUUAAACGGGGGGACGCUGUCGAAGGCGGGACUGGCGACUGGGACGAAGUCGUAACAAGGUAGCGGUACCGGAAGGUGCGGCUGG
RNAcentral lists this ribosomal RNA (1206 nucleotides) under metagenome. RNAcentral's name for it is "bacterial SSU rRNA". It matches the Rfam family "Bacterial small subunit ribosomal RNA", at positions 287 to 1521 of the family's 1533-position model. The record is from RNAcentral.